CGUAGUCCAGUGGUAAAGCACUUGCCCCACACGGGGAAUUCCCGGGUUCAAUUCCCGGC
This 59-nucleotide transfer RNA is filed under the name Eutreptiella gymnastica. Lineage: Eukaryota; Euglenozoa; Euglenophyceae; Eutreptiales; Eutreptiaceae. The record is from RNAcentral.